Molecule: ribosomal RNA, 253 nt
Filed under: uncultured bacterium
Lineage: Bacteria
Description: partial 16S ribosomal RNA
Rfam family: Bacterial small subunit ribosomal RNA
Source: RNAcentral
UACGGAGGAUCCAAGCGUUAUCCGGAUUUAUUGGGUUUAAAGGGUGCGUAGGCGGAAUAGUAAGUCAGUGGUGAAAGCCUGCAGCUCAACUGCAGAAUUGCCAUUGAUACUGCUAAUCUCGAGUGUAGAUGAAGUGGGCGGAAUGUGUCAUGUAGCGGUGAAAUGCUUAGAUAUGACACAGAACACCGAUUGCGAAGGCAGCUCACUAAACUAAUACUGACGCUGAGGCACGAAAGCAUGGGGAGCAAACAGG